This 271-nucleotide ribosomal RNA is filed under the name uncultured bacterium. Its description in RNAcentral is "partial 16S ribosomal RNA". It matches the Rfam family "Bacterial small subunit ribosomal RNA", at positions 84 to 353 of the family's 1533-position model. The record is from RNAcentral.
UUUGAUGGCGACCGGCGCACGGGUGAGUAACACGUAUCCAACCUGCCGAUGACUCGGGGAUAGCCUUUCGAAAGAAAGAUUAAUACCCGAUGGCAUAGUUCUUCCGCAUGGUGGAACUAUUAAAGAAUUUCGGUCAUCGAUGGGGAUGCGUUCCAUUAGGUUGUUGGCGGGGUAACGGGCCCACCAAGCCUUCGAUGGAUAGGGGUUCUGAGAGGAAGGUCCCCCACAUUGGAACUGAGACACGGUCCAAACUCCUACGGGAGGCAGCAUG